Molecule: ribosomal RNA, 301 nt
Filed under: uncultured bacterium
Lineage: Bacteria
Description: partial 16S ribosomal RNA
Rfam family: Bacterial small subunit ribosomal RNA
Source: RNAcentral
CAGUCGCCGCGGUAAUACGAAGGGUGCAAGCGUUAAUCGGAAUUACUGGGCGUAAAGCGUGCGUAGGCGGUUUGUUAAGUCUGUUGUGAAAUCCCUGGGCUCAACCUGGGAAUGGCAAUGGAUACUGGCAAGCUAGAGUGUGUCAGAGGAUGGUGGAAUUCCCGGUGUAGCGGUGAAAUGUGUAGAGAUCGGGAGGAACAUCAGUGGCGAAGGCGGCCAUCUGGGACAACACUGACGCUGAGGCACGAAAGCGUGGGGAGCAAACAGGAUUAGAUACCCCCGUAGUCCCUGUCUCUUAUAA